Molecule: transfer RNA, 64 nt
Filed under: Dybowskyia reticulata
Lineage: Eukaryota; Metazoa; Arthropoda; Insecta; Hemiptera; Pentatomidae
Description: tRNA-Arg
Source: RNAcentral
AGAUAAUGAAGUAAAAGCUUUACAAUUAGUUUCGACCUAAAAUUAGGAUUUAAUCCCUUAUCUA